This 770-nucleotide long non-coding RNA is filed under the name Homo sapiens (human). RNAcentral's name for it is "HSALNT0363857". Lineage: Eukaryota; Metazoa; Chordata; Mammalia; Primates; Hominidae. The record is from RNAcentral.
GGUGGAGGGCGGGGACCCUCGGAAGCCAGCUGGGUGGCGAUCGCUUGUCUGCCUUGGCAGGCCCCUUGUGCAGUCUUUUCCCGGCGUGAGCGUGCAGGGAUUGAAAAGGAAUGCUUUAUGGUUCAGCAGAGAGCCACCACGCAGGAUGCACUGGGACCUGAGAACCGUCGGGCAGUCCCACGAGCUCUUUCAUGACCAGCUCCAACCGACAAGUACACGCCCCUUCGCACUCCACUAGCUAGUAAGCUGAGCUACAAGGUGUGCCAGGCACCCAGGACGCCGAUUCACCGCUUCAGUGAAGGCCCAGCUCAAAUGCCACCUCUUCCAUGAAGACUUCCGUGAUCCACAAUGAUAGCAUCUCCAGCAAUUGCUUCUAUAAUGAAUAGCAUGAGUCAUUCUGCAGGAUGUUGAUCUUCCUUUUUUUACUCCUAGACUGAAUUUUUCCACCACCUGGAUGAACAUAGCAGAAAGAACAUAGUGUUUUAGAGUCAGACACAAUAGGAAUCAGGCACUUUGGAAUCUUGGCUCUACCACCUUUGAGCUAUGUAUCCCAAGUCAAACACCCAUCAGACCUUUGCCAGGUGUCCAGCCUGGGCACUACGUUUCAGAAAAUGAUGCACAUAGAAUCCCUAACUGAAAGGAGAUCGCAGCUCAUUUGGUACAAAGUGGCUGAUUCUUUGACUGGUGAGCCACUCCCCAGGCAGGCAUAGCAUCACAGAGUUUCUGAGAAGGUACACCCUGGAUGCAAAGCAGUGUUGCUGAAAGACUCC